GGACAAUUAGCUCAUCUGGCUAGAGCGCCACAUUGACGUUGUGGAGGUAAGAGGUUCAAGUCCUCUAUUGUCCACCA
This 77-nucleotide transfer RNA is filed under the name TM7 phylum sp. oral taxon 348. RNAcentral describes it as "tRNA-Val". It matches the Rfam family "tRNA". Rfam says of the family: Transfer RNA (tRNA) molecules are approximately 80 nucleotides in length. Their secondary structure includes four short double-helical elements and three loops (D, anti-codon, and T loops). The record is from RNAcentral. RNAcentral also lists the same sequence under 3 other names. Lineage: Bacteria; Candidatus Saccharimonadota.